UGGCCAAGCAAAAAGGGCACAGGGUGGAUGCCUUGGCACUAAGAGCCGAAGAAAGACGUGAUAAGCUGCGAAAAGCUGCGGGGAGGAGCACAUGUCCGUUGAUCCGCAGAUGUCUGAAUGGGGAGACCCACACAGGGAAGACCUGUGUAUCCAUGCGCGAAUCCAUAACGCAUGGAAGGGAACCCGGUGAACUGAAACAUCUAAGUAGCCGGAGGAAGAGAAAGAAACAUCGAUUCCGGGAGUAGCGGCGAGCGAAACCGGAGGAGCCCAAACCGUGGCGCGUGCGCUGCGGGGUAUGGACCGCAAACGUGACUGAAAAAGGCAGGAGAACGGCUUUGGGAAAGCCGGCCAAAGAGGGUGAAAGUCCCGUAUCCGAAGCCGGAAGCGGCACAGCGGGAUCCGGAGUACGCCGGGACACGAGAAAUCCUGGUGGAAGAAGCGGGGACCACCCCGUAAGGCUAAAUACUUCUUAGUGACCGAUAGAGCAUAGUACUGUGAAGGAAAGGUGAAAAGAACCCCGGGAGGGGAGUGAAAGAGAACCUGAAACCCUGUGUUUACAAACUGUGGAAGCGUUACGGCGCAACCGCGUACUUUUUGUAGAACGGUCCGGCGAGCUGCGGGUGCCGGCAAGGUUAAGCGCGGGAAGCGUGGAGCCGGAGGGAGACCGAGUCUGAACAGGGCGUUCAGUCGGCAUCCGCAGGCCCGAAACCGGGUGAUCUAUCCAUGUCCAGGCUGAAGACGCCGUAAAAGGCGCUGGAGGGCCGGACCCACGUCCGUUGAAAAGGGCGGGGAUGAGGUGUGGAUAGGGGAGAAAUUCCAAUCGAACCCGGAGAUAGCUGGUUCUCCCCGAAAUAGCUUUAGGGUUAGCCUCGUUUGAGUCUCGCGGAGGUAGAGCACUGAAUUUCCGAGGGGGCGUCAAAGCCUGCCAGAGAAUAUCAAACUCCGAAUGCCGCAAAGAUGAUAAACGGGAGUCAGGCUGCAUGAGAUAAGUCGGACAGCCAAAAGGGAAACAGUCCAGACCGCCGGCUAAGGCCCCAGAGUGCGUGUUAAGUGGAAAAGGAUGUGGGGAUUCAAAGACAGCCAGGACGUUGGCCCAGAAGCAGCCACACGUUCAAAGAGUGCGUAACAGCUCACUGGCCGAGAGUCCCUGCGCCGAAAAUGUCCGGGGCUAAAACACGCCGCCGAAGCCGCGGGAUGCAGCAAUGCAUCGGUAGGGGAGCAUUCUUAAAACCGAAGAAGCCGUUUUGAAAGAGGCGGUGGAGGGAUAAGAAGGGAGAAUGCCGGAAUGAGUAGCGAGACGGAGGUGUGAAUCCUCCGGGCCGAAUAUCCAAGGUUUCCAGGGUAAAGCUGAUCUUCCCUGGGAAAGUCGGGGCCUAAGGAGAGGCCGGAAGGCGCAUCCGAUGGACAGCAGGUGAAUAUUCCUGCACCCCCAUAGAGCAGAACUGCGGGGACGCAGUGGCAAAGCAUGGGCCGGGAAUGGAAAAACCGGUGCUGCAGGUAGGCCUGGCAGGGGAGAAAUACCUCUGUGGGAGGGCAGGCCUGCAGCGGAGCGAAAAUGAAGUAGCAAAGCAUGCGAAGCUGCUGCCGAGAAAAGCCGCUAUUGCCUAUAUGGGGCCCGUACCGCAAACCGACACAGGUGGAUGAGGAGAGGAUCCUAAGGCCGACGGGAGAAGCAUUGUCAAGGAACUCGGCAAAAUAGCCCCGUAACUUCGGGAGAAGGGGCGCCUGCGCAAGCAGGCCGCAGUGAACAGGCCCAGGCAACUGUUUAGCAAAAACACAGGUCUAUGCGAAACCGGAAGGUGAAGUAUAUGGGCUGACGCCUGCCCGGUGCUGGAAGGUUAAGAGGAGAGGUCAGCGCAAGCGAAGCUUUGAAUCCAAGCCCCAGUAAACGGCGGCCGUAACUAUAACGGUCCUAAGGUAGCGAAAUUCCUUGUCGGGUAAGUUCCGACCCGCACGAAAGGCGUAAUGAUCUGGGCACUGUCUCGACAAUGCACCCGGUGAAAUUGAAGUGCCAGUGAAGAUGCUGGCUACCCGCGCCAGGACGGAAAGACCCCAUGGAGCUUUACUCCAGUCUGGCACUGGGGCACGGCGUUGCACGUACAGGAUAGGUGGGAGGCGAAGAAUUAAGGGCGCCAGCCCUUAAGGAGCCGACGGUGGGAUACCACCCCUGCAGCGCUGGGUCUCUAACCGACCGCCGAUACCGGCGGCGGGACAAUGCCAGGCGGGGAGUUUGACUGGGGCGGUCGCCUCCGAAAGGGUAUCGGAGGCGCUCAAAGGUUCCCUCAUGAUGGACGGAAACCAUCAGGAGAGCGCAAAGGCAGAAGGGAGCCUGACUGUGACACCGACGGGUGGAGCAGGUACGAAAGUAGGACUUAGUGAUCCGGUGGUAGAAAGUGGGAUUGCCAUCGCUCAACGGAUAAAAGCUACCCUGGGGAUAACAGGCUUAUCACUCCCAAGAGUUCACAUCGACGGAGUGGUUUGGCACCUCGAUGUCGGCUCAUCGCAUCCUGGGGCUGUAGCAGGUCCCAAGGGUUGGGCUGUUCGCCCAUUAAAGCGGUACGCGAGCUGGGUUCAGAACGUCGUGAGACAGUUCGGUCCCUAUCCGGCGCGGGCGGAGGAUGUCUGAGGGGGUCUGGCCUUAGUACGAGAGGACCGGGUUGGACGGGCCGCUGGUGCACCUGUUGGAGACCAUCUCCAUGGCAGGGUAGCCAAGCCCGGAAGGGAUAAGCGCUGAAGGCAUCUAAGCGCGAAGCCCGCCCCAAGAUGAGACAUCCCCCAAAAGGAUAAGACCCCUGGAAGAACACCAGGUAGAUAGGACAGAAGUGGAAGUGUGGCAACACAUGGAGCGGACUGUUACUAAUCGGUCGAAGGCUUGACCAAA
Molecule: non-coding RNA, 2881 nt
Organism: Eubacterium plexicaudatum ASF492
Lineage: Bacteria; Bacillati; Bacillota; Clostridia; Eubacteriales; Eubacteriaceae
Source: Rfam